This 300-nucleotide long non-coding RNA is filed under the name Ricinus communis (castor bean). RNAcentral's name for it is "long non-coding RNA (RCOM_LNC001921)". The record is from RNAcentral. Lineage: Eukaryota; Viridiplantae; Streptophyta; Magnoliopsida; Malpighiales; Euphorbiaceae.
UCUCGGGGCGCCAGUCUUAUUGGAUUAAGAGAGCCGAAUGGCUACUAGAUUUCUUAUUUGGAUACUUAAGUGACUAGACUGGAGGUAAGGUCCCUGGUCGAGCAUUGCUCUCGGGGCGCCAGUCUUAUUGGAUUAAGAGAGCCGAAUGGCUACUAGAUUUCUUAUUUGGAUACUUAAGUGACCAGACUGGAGGUAAGGUCCCUGGUCGAGCAUUGCUCUCGGGGCGCCAGUCUUAUUGGAUUAAGAGAGCCGAAUGGCUACUAGAUUUUGGGGUUUAGGGUUCUACCGAGCCACUCGUCC